This 551-nucleotide ribosomal RNA is filed under the name Salmonella enterica subsp. enterica serovar Enteritidis. Its description in RNAcentral is "partial 23S ribosomal RNA". The stretch from base 1 to 386 matches the Rfam family "Bacterial large subunit ribosomal RNA", at positions 141 to 565 of the family's 2925-position model. The record is from RNAcentral. Lineage: Bacteria; Pseudomonadati; Pseudomonadota; Gammaproteobacteria; Enterobacterales; Enterobacteriaceae.
CGUCACACUAUCAUUAACUGAAUCCAUAGGUUAAUGAGGCGAACCGGGGGAACUGAAACAUCUAAGUACCCCGAGGAAAAGAAAUCAACCGAGAUUCCCCCAGUAGCGGCGAGCGAACGGGGAGGAGCCCAGAGCCUGAAUCAGCAUGUGUGUUAGUGGAAGCGUCUGGAAAGGCGCGCGAUACAGGGUGACAGCCCCGUACACAAAAGCGCAUGUGCUGUGAGCUCGAUGAGUAGGGCGGGACACGUGGUAUCCUGUCUGAAUAUGGGGGGACCAUCCUCCAAGGCUAAAUACUCCUGACUGACCGAUAGUGAACCAGUACCGUGAGGGAAAGGCGAAAAGAACCCCGGCGAGGGGAGUGAAAAAGAACCUGAAACCGUGUACGUACAAGCAGUGGGAGCCCCACCACCAAAGCAUUUGCUGUACCGCGUUGACGGAGCGAAGCGACGUCAAACCGAUAAAACAGCAGUGUAAAGUGAGCCGCAGGGCGCUUUGCGCGACAGCGCAAAGGCAGGCGGUUUCGCGUAGCGAAAGCGAAUGCUUUGGGGUGG